AUUGAACGCUGGCGGCAUGCCUUACACAUGCAAGUCGAACGGUAACAGGUCUUCGGAUGCUGACGAGUGGCGUACGGGUGAGUAAUACAUCGGAACGUGCCCGAUCGUGGGGGAUAACGCAGCGAAAGCUGUGCUAAUACCGCAUACGAUCUACGGAUGAAAGCGGGGGAUCGCAAGACCUCGCGCGGACGGAGCGGCCGAUGGCAGAUUAGGUAGUUGGUGGGAUAAAAGCUUACCAAGCCGACGAUCUGUAGCUGGUCUGAGAGGACGACCAGCCACACUGGGACAGAGGCACGGCCCAGACUCCUACGGGAGGCAGCAGUGGGGAAUUUUGGACAAUGGGGGAAAGCCUGAUCCAGCCAUGCCGCGUGCAGGAUGAAGGCCUUCGGGUUGUAGACUGCUUUUGUACGGAACGAAAAAGCUCUCUCUAAUACAGGAGGUGAAUGACGGUACCGUAAGAAUAAGCACCGGCUAACUACGUG
Molecule: ribosomal RNA, 482 nt
Filed under: uncultured bacterium
Lineage: Bacteria
Description: partial 16S ribosomal RNA
Rfam family: Bacterial small subunit ribosomal RNA
Source: RNAcentral